UGCAGUCGACGGUAACAGGAAGCAGCUUGCUGCUUUGCUGACGAGUGGCGGACGGGUGAGUAAUGUCUGGGAAACUGCCUGAUGGAGGGGGAUAACUACUGGAAACGGUAGCUAAUACCGCAUAACGUCGCAAGACCAAAGAGGGGGACCUUCGGGCCUCUUGCCAUCGGAUGUGCCCAGAUGGGAUUAGCUAGUUGGUGGGGUAACGGCUCACCUAGGCGACGAUCCCUAGCUGGUCUGAGAGGAUGACCAGCCACACUGGAACUGAGACACGGUCCAGACUCCUACGGGAGGCAGCAGUGGGGAAUAUUGCACAAUGGGCGCAAGCCUGAUGCAGCCAUGCCGCGUGUAUGAAGAAGGCCUUCGGGUUGUAAAGUACUUUCAGCGGGGAGGAAGGGAGUAAAGUUAAUACCUUUGCUCAUUGACGUUACCCGCAGAAGAAGCACCGGCUAACUCCGUGCCAGCAGCCGCGGUAAUACGGAGGGUGCAAGCGUUAAUCGGAAUUACUGGGCGUAAAGCGCACGCAGGCGGUUUGUUAAGUCAGAUGUGAAAUCCCCGGGCUCAACCUGGGAACUGCAUCUGAUACUGGCAAGCUUGAGUCUCGUAGAGGGGGGUAGAAUUCCAGGUGUAGCGGUGAAAUGCGUACAGAUCUGGAGGAAUACCGGUGGCGAAGGCGGCCCCCUGGACGAAGACUGACGCUCAGGUGCGAAAGCGUGGGGGAGCAAACAGGAUUAGA
This 736-nucleotide ribosomal RNA is filed under the name Escherichia coli. Its description in RNAcentral is "bacterial SSU rRNA". It matches the Rfam family "Bacterial small subunit ribosomal RNA", at positions 56 to 782 of the family's 1533-position model. The record is from RNAcentral. Lineage: Bacteria; Pseudomonadati; Pseudomonadota; Gammaproteobacteria; Enterobacterales; Enterobacteriaceae.